Molecule: ribosomal RNA, 441 nt
Filed under: uncultured bacterium
Lineage: Bacteria
Description: partial 16S ribosomal RNA
Rfam family: Bacterial small subunit ribosomal RNA
Source: RNAcentral
CCUACGGGAGGCAGCAGUGGGGGAUAUUGCACAAUGGGGGGAACCCUGAUGCAGCGACGCCGCGUGGGUGAAGGAGCGGUUAGGCGCGUAAAGCCAUAACGGCAGGGAGGAAGGAGGACGGUACCUGACUAAGAAGCCCCGGCUAACUACGUGCCAGAAGCCACGGUAAUACGUAGGUGGCAAGCGUUGUCCGGAAUUACUGGGUGUAAAGGGAGCGUAGGCGGGAAGCCAAGUCAGCUGUGAAAACUACUGGCGUAACUUGUAGACUGCAGUUGAAACUGGUUUUCUUGAGUGAAGUAGAGGUUGGCGGAAUUCCGAGUGUAUCGGUGAAAUGCGUAGAUAUUCGGAGGAACACCGGUGGCGAAGGCGGCCAACUGGGCUUUAACUGACGCUGAGGCUCGAAAGUGUGGGGAGCAAACAGGAUUAGAUACCCGUGUAGUC